This 448-nucleotide ribosomal RNA is filed under the name uncultured bacterium. RNAcentral describes it as "bacterial SSU rRNA". It matches the Rfam family "Bacterial small subunit ribosomal RNA", at positions 329 to 794 of the family's 1533-position model. The record is from RNAcentral.
GGCCAGACUCCUACGGGAGGCAGCAGUGGGGAAUAUUGCACAAUGGGGGAAACCCUGAUGCAGCGACGCCGCGUGAGUGAGGAAGUAUUUCGGUAUGUAAAGCUCUAUCAGCAGGGAAGAAAAUGACGGUACCUGACUAAGAAGCUCCGGCUAACUACGUGCCAGCAGCCGCGGUAAUACGUAGGGAGCAAGCGUUGUCCGGAAUUACUGGGCGUAAAGGGCGCGUAGGUGGGCGCUUAAGUCAGGUGUGAAAACUCCGGGCUCAACCUGGAGACUGCACUUGAAACUGGGUGUCUUGAGGGCAGGAGAGGAAAGUGGAAUUCCUAGUGUAGCGGUGAAAUGCGUAGAUAUUAGGAGGAACACCAGUGGCGAAGGCGACUAUCUGGCACAUAACUGACGCUGAGGAGCGAAAGCGUGGGUAGCAAACAGGAUUAGAUACCCGGGUAAA